RNAcentral lists this ribosomal RNA (912 nucleotides) under Dothiorella sarmentorum. RNAcentral describes it as "eukaryotic LSU rRNA". It matches the Rfam family "Eukaryotic large subunit ribosomal RNA", at positions 11 to 941 of the family's 3401-position model. Lineage: Eukaryota; Fungi; Ascomycota; Dothideomycetes; Botryosphaeriales; Botryosphaeriaceae. The record is from RNAcentral.
UCAGGUAGGGAUACCCGCUGAACUUAAGCAUAUCAAUAAGCGGAGGAAAAGAAACCAACUGGGAUUGCCUUAGUAACGGCGAGUGAAGCGGCAAUAGCUCAAAUUUGAAAGCUGGCCCCUUUGGGGUCCGCGUUGUAAUUUGUAGAGGAUGAUUCGGCGAGGGCUCCCGUCUAAGUCCCCUGGAACGGGGCGUCAUAGAGGGUGAGAAUCCCGUAUGUGAUGGGUUGCCUUAGCCAUGUGAAUCUCCUUCGACGAGUCGAGUUGUUUGGGAAUGCAGCUCUAAAUGGGAGGUAAAUUUCUUCUAAAGCUAAAUACCGGCCAGAGACCGAUAGCGCACAAGUAGAGUGAUCGAAAGAUGAAAAGCACUUUGGAAAGAGAGUUAAAAAGUACGUGAAAUUGUUGAAAGGGAAGCGCUUGCAGCCAGACUUGUCCGCAGUUGCUCAGCCGGUCUCCUGACCGGCGUACUCUUCUGCGGCCAGGCCAGCAUCAGUUCGGGCGGUCGGAUAAAGACCUCGGGAAUGUAGCUCCUCUCGGGGAGUGUUAUAGCCCGGGGUGGAAUGCGGCCAGCCUGGACUGAGGAUCUCGCUUCGGCUAGGAUGCUGGCGUAAUGGCUGUAAGCGGCCCGUCUUGAAACACGGACCAAGGAGUCUAACAUCUAUGCGAGUGUUUGGGUGUCAAACCCAUACGCGUAAUGAAAGUGAACGGAGGUGGGAACCCUCACGGGUGCACCAUCGACCGAUCCUGAUGUCUUCGGAUGGAUUUGAGUAUGAGCAUAGCUGUUGGGACCCGAAAGAUGGUGAACUAUGCCUGAAUAGGGUGAAGCCAGAGGAAACUCUGGUGGAGGCUCGCAGCGGUUCUGACGUGCAAAUCGAUCGUCAAAUUUGGGUAUAGGGGCGAAAGACUAAUCGAACC